ACAGAUCGAUCUACAACACAUACGCAUUGCAAUUAUGAGAAAUCCAUCAAUAUGCAGAUGAAGCCUUAAGAAUUAUUUAAGUCAUUGUAAUUAUAUAUAUCAUGGUGAGGGCCCUUCCGCUGGUAAGGAAAACUUAGAUAUUUUGCGUAUUAUAUAUUUUUGAUUGAUGUAACAUUUGUUUUCCCCUGACAAAAAGUAAUGUUUGUUUCAUGUUCUUAUUCAGUAAAAAUGUGCACAGCACAAUCUCAAAUUUUAUGCAAAAGCUCAGAUGGCAAUAGUUCCUACACUCAUGUUAUCCAAUAUAAACUGUUGAAUGAUUGAUACAAUUUGAAGGUGAGAUACAAGAACAUCAUAACAUUGAUAUUCUCGUCGUAUGUAUAUGACUACUAUAUAUUCCCGAAACCUCACCUCUAAACUGAGUUUAGUGCAGUUUUUUUAUUUUUUGAAAUACAGGUACUUCUCAAUUUUUGUACUAAUUUUCUAUUUUGGGGAAAGCCACAUAUGUUUCCAACAAUAGAAUGAUGUGUGAUGGUCAUCACACAAACUCCUGGCCAGGUGCCUUUCACAUCUUAUCUUGUUUGUAAUAUAUAUAUUCUCCUUAAAUUGUUAACACAAUGAGCAUAUAGAUGUAGCUGGUUCAUCAACGUAAACAUCAAAAGUAUUCCUCUUAUGCAGUCUGCUUCCCUGACAUGCAGGGCACACUAAGGUGGUGGGAAGAUACAUACAACCGUUAACUUGACGGCUAAGCGAUCAGAUGCGGCGAUUGUGUGAGUGUGUCAGGUACGUCGAAUUCACUUAUCCCAAACUAUUGGAAGUUACUAGGAUCUCCUCUUCUCUGUAAUACUUAUGGCCUUCUCCUCUACCUAUUGGGGCAACAGUUUGGAUAUCCAGCAACCAUGGUGACAAAUACGUGCAUACUGGAACUGUUCCAAGUUUCCAUUUUCUCAGUAAACAAGUGAACUAAGAAAGUGAAUCCUAUUUAAUAAAUGUAGGCAUAUACUAAUACGGUGGCACAACUUAGUCUGCAUGAAUGUUCUGGUCUUCUAAAUUUUUAGUAUAAUGUUGAGUACUUUAGUUGGAGUCCAUGCUAGUUUAGCUAGCCAAGUUGAGUCUAAUAAGGCUAGGUCGAUUAGUUAGUUUUCCACCAUUGCAAGUCGUAAGCAUGUGUGCUCAUGGAUGGGUCGUAGUCUGUAGAUGAUUCAAUGAUUUUGCAUAGGUAGCAGCGUACGUGAUGUACUAGUAUGCCUUGGAGUUGGUGUGCCUUACUAGUCUAGGAAAAGGGCGCUCGAGUCCAAGUCGUUUUAGAUGCAAAGUCAGAGUAGGUUUAGGUUGUUCCGGCCAUGUAGCAGGUCAUAGUUGUGGAAGCAGGUCGUAUAAGAGUUUUUCCAUAGAAAACAAGGUCAUGUAAGAGCUUUCAGACAAGAAUAAAGAGUACGCUAAAGUUUCUUUCAUGCGCAUGUGUUUGGCUAUUUUGAUGUGAUAGAUUCUGUGGACAAAACAGAACAUAGAUUACUAAUCCAUAUGCCAAAUCAGCAGGUUACAGAAACUUGAUUGUUCCAAGUCAAUGUUGUUGGCACUAAAACCUAAAAGACUACUGGUGCCAAGCUGGAUUUGCUAGGAGGUAUUUUCUGAUAUUACUUCUAUAUUGCCUGAAUGAUUCUUCACCAAUUCGAAUGGAAAUUUUGGAUUAUUAAUAGCAUUACUUGAAUAUAUUUUUAUUAUCACACAUGCUUCUGUUCUUUUACCUAAUUCGUACAAGAGAACACUUUUCUUCCAUGUUACAAUGGUCAUACACUCAUACUGCGUCUCUAAGAUAAGACUCUUUGCCGCUAGAUUAGGUAAAAUAAUUCAUCAACUCCUGUAUGCCUUCCUUACAUUCCCUCACUUCCUAUAUAACACUCUGUUUCUAUAAACAUGGUGAAACUUGAUAAUGGAAUGAGCUGAGUUACUUUACUGUAAACUAAAAUGACUACGUUCGGCUACAAAAGUGAUACUUGACAAGUUCAAACAAGAGCGCUGCUCUUACUACAACCCAACGUAUCAACCAAGAAUAUAAAGGUAAAAUUGACGGUGUUAAACUUGGUAAUGAAUUCCUUAUAUUCCGAAUUGAUCUUACAUUAGCAAAAUCUGGUAAGUUUAUACAACUAAUAAAAAGUCAAAAUUACUGGCGAUAUAGCUAGAUUAAUUAUCACAUGGCCUUCAACCUUUCUAUGUUGCUCCUCUUUUUCAAUUUUACUGCCCUAUUAACCUAUCUCAUUUCUUUGUGUAGAUUGCAAGAUAAAUCGGUGAUGCAUCGUCAGAUGUUGAUUGCAAGGUCAAGAACAUGGGUGCAACUAGAUAGUUUCACAUUGUGUUUCAGAAUGUCAUUUUCAUUGUCGAUGUGUCAAUCAUUAUGAUUCAGGCAUUUUCGGUGUCAAUGUUUAGAUCAUUAUGUUUCAAAAUGGCUGAGACGUUGGUUGCAAGAUCAAGAAUAGGACCAGUACUAGUUUCACAUCUUGUAAUCUUUGUAUCCAGAUCCUUGUAAUGCAACCAAGUUGACUUAAUAUAUGAGACAGUUCUGUUUGUUAUACUGCGUGCCCUAUGCAUUAUUGGCAUU
RNAcentral lists this long non-coding RNA (2596 nucleotides) under Triticum aestivum (bread wheat). RNAcentral's name for it is "long non-coding RNA (TAES_LNC022505)". Lineage: Eukaryota; Viridiplantae; Streptophyta; Magnoliopsida; Poales; Poaceae. The record is from RNAcentral.